UAGGGAAUAUUGCUCAAAUGGGGGAAACCCGUGAAGCAGCAACGCCGCGUGGAGGAUGAAGGUUUUCGGAUUGUAAACUCCUUUUGUGAGAGAAGAUAAUGACGGUAUCUCACGAAUAAGCACCGGCUAACUCCGUGCCAGCAGCCGCGGUAAUACGGAGGGUGCAAGCGUUGCUCGGAAUCACUGGGCGUAAAGAGCGCGUAGGCGGGGUAGCAAGUCAGAUGUGAAAUCCUAUGGCUUAACCAUAGAACUGCAUUUGAAACUAGCUACUCUAGAGUAUGGGAGAGGUAGGUGGAAUUCUUGGUGUAGGGGUAAAAUCCGUAGAGAUCAAGAGGAAUACUCAUUGCGAAGGCGACCUGCUAGAACAUUACUG
Molecule: ribosomal RNA, 373 nt
Filed under: uncultured Helicobacter sp.
Lineage: Bacteria; Pseudomonadati; Campylobacterota; Epsilonproteobacteria; Campylobacterales; Helicobacteraceae
Description: bacterial SSU rRNA
Rfam family: Bacterial small subunit ribosomal RNA
Source: RNAcentral